This 459-nucleotide ribosomal RNA is filed under the name uncultured bacterium. Its description in RNAcentral is "partial 16S ribosomal RNA". It matches the Rfam family "Bacterial small subunit ribosomal RNA", at positions 338 to 795 of the family's 1533-position model. The record is from RNAcentral.
CCUACGGGAGGCAGCAGUGAGGAAUAUUGGUCAAUGGGCGCGAGCCUGAACCAGCCAAGUCGCGUGAGGGAAGACGGUCCUAUGGAUUGUAAACCUCUUUUGUCGGGGAGCAAAACACGCCACGCGUGGCGUUCCGAGAGUACCCGACGAAUAAGCAUCGGCUAACUCCGUGCCAGCAGCCGCGGUAAUACGGAGGAUGCGAGCGUUAUCCGGAUUUAUUGGGUUUAAAGGGUGAGAAGGCGGAAGAUCAGUUCAGCGGUAAAAUUGAGAGGCUCAACCUCUUCGAGCCGUUGAAACUGGUGUGCUUGAGUGAGUGAGAGGUAUGCGGAAGGCGUGGUGUAGCGGUGAAAUGCAUAGAUAUCACGCAGAACUCCGAUUGCGAAGGCAGCAUACCGGCGCUCAACUGACGCUCAUGCACGAAAGUGUGGGUAUCGAACAGGAUUAGAUACCCCAGUAGUC